RNAcentral lists this signal recognition particle RNA (331 nucleotides) under Candidatus Bathyarchaeota archaeon. Its description in RNAcentral is "signal recognition particle sRNA". It matches the Rfam family "Archaeal signal recognition particle RNA". Lineage: Archaea; Thermoproteati; Candidatus Bathyarchaeota. The record is from RNAcentral.
UGGCGGGCCUUAGGCGGGGGGCUAGGGGUCCUCUGAGAGGCUUAAUGCCUUGACCGUAAAUCCUCUACAUGAUGGGCUGACAUCUGAGGCUGAGACGUCAAAGAGCUUCGAGCUCCGCUUGUCCUUGCGGUGAAUAUCCGUCCCUUGGGGCUGGUGGUCAUGGUGCUGUCUCUGUAGGGAGGCAGUUUCCGUGUCUGCUAGGUGAAUCCGGCCAGGCCCGGGAGGGAGCAACCUAAGUCUAGACGCUUAGCGCUCAAGGGGGUGCGGAUACGAGACAAAGAUGAGUAGUGGGUUUGAAGGAAACUGGGCGCCGAACCUCAGUGGUCCGCUG